RNAcentral lists this small RNA (103 nucleotides) under bovine gut metagenome. RNAcentral describes it as "RT-5 RNA". It matches the Rfam family "RT-5 RNA". Rfam says of the family: Clostridium (Firmicutes). Environment (Cow rumen (57)) The record is from RNAcentral.
UGCGCCUGCGGCGGACCAGGCACACAAGGUAAAACAGCUUCGCAGGCAGCACCUGUGUGUACGGCCCGGUACAUCCCGGAAUUUUCCGGGCUUUAAAGUCUUC